UACGUAGGGACCGAGCGUUGUCCGGAUUCAUUGGGCGUAAAGAGCUCGUAGGCGGCCACUCAAGUCGAAUGUGAAACCUCGAGGCUUAACCUCGAGCCUGCAUUCGAUACUGGGCGGCUAGAGUCUGGUAGGGGGAUCUGGAAUUCCUGGUGUAGCGGUGGAAUGCGCAGAUAUCAGGAGGAACACCGGUGGCGAAGGCGGGAUCCUGGGCCAGUACUGACGCUGAGGAGCGAAAGCUAGGGGAGCAAACGGG
RNAcentral lists this ribosomal RNA (253 nucleotides) under uncultured bacterium. RNAcentral's name for it is "partial 16S ribosomal RNA". It matches the Rfam family "Bacterial small subunit ribosomal RNA", at positions 524 to 776 of the family's 1533-position model. The record is from RNAcentral.